This 516-nucleotide ribosomal RNA is filed under the name uncultured Actinomycetes bacterium. RNAcentral describes it as "bacterial SSU rRNA". It matches the Rfam family "Bacterial small subunit ribosomal RNA", at positions 38 to 564 of the family's 1533-position model. Lineage: Bacteria; Bacillati; Actinomycetota; Actinomycetes. The record is from RNAcentral.
GGCGGCGUGCUUAACACAUGCAAGUCGAGCGGGGUCCAUCUUGUCGCAAGACAAGGGAAGACCUANCGGCGAACGGGUGAGUAUCACGUGAGCAACCUGCCCCGAAGACUGGGAUAACACCGGGAAACCGGUGCUAAUACCGGAUGUCCUCCAGGAGUCGCAUGGCUCUUAGAGGAAAUGGAUUCCGCUUCGGGAGGGGCUCGCGGCCUAUCANCUUGUUGGCGGGGUAACGGCCCACCAAGGCUCCGACGGGUAGCUGGUCUGAGAGGACGACCAGCCACACUGGGACUGAGACACGGCCCAGACUCCUACGGGAGGCAGCAGUGGGGAAUCUUGCGCAAUGGGCGAAAGCCUGACGCAGCAACGCCGCGUGGGGGACGAAGGCCUUCGGGUCGUAAACCCCUUUCAGCAGGGACGAAAAUGACGGUACCUGCAGAAGAAGCCCCGGCCAACUACGUGCCAGCAGCCGCGGUAAUACGUAGGGGGCGAGCGUUGUCCGGAUUUAUUGGGCGUAAA